AUUUGCUUGAGCUAACCUAUUUGGAUCAAUUGACCUAUUGGUGUCUAAAGUAAGUAAUUGAGAAGUGAUUAUUUAAUUAUUUCGUUGGCUGAUCUGAUCAAUUUAUUGGUGUCUAAGAAAAGCAACGGGGGGACUCCCACCGAUCUCUACUUAUCUAGCCAAUUUGGAAGAUUGAGUCUUGAAUGAGGUUGCUUGGCGGUUUGGUUUAGCCUAUACCAAUU
Molecule: long non-coding RNA, 221 nt
Filed under: Elaeis guineensis (African oil palm)
Lineage: Eukaryota; Viridiplantae; Streptophyta; Magnoliopsida; Arecales; Arecaceae
Description: long non-coding RNA (EGUI_LNC052894)
Source: RNAcentral